Molecule: long non-coding RNA, 4255 nt
Filed under: Glycine max (soybean)
Lineage: Eukaryota; Viridiplantae; Streptophyta; Magnoliopsida; Fabales; Fabaceae
Description: long non-coding RNA (GMAX_LNC000956)
Source: RNAcentral
CAUUUAGGUAUUAAUCAAACGAUGAAAGUAACGGAAAAUAUUUAAAUAUCAGGAUAUAUAAUAAAUAGUUUUGUUAAUAAAUUCACUCUUUUUUUUUUCUUAACACACGGGCAGAUGUUAACAAAACCUAAAUAAAACAAAAUUUACUUAGUGUGGUCCCUGUAAGAUAAGAACAAUCCCCAACAAGAAAUACGACGAAAUAAUGAAAUAUCGGUUCCAGAGACUCCGCCGAAAGAGGGUGUGGCCUGGAGAUAAGCAAAGCAAGGAAUAGUUUACUUUUGCACAUGUUACAAGACUGCAUUACAUAAUUCAAUACCACCCAAAACUUUCACGUUCCAGCAACUCAAGUUUGGAAUAUCAAUGUUCAAGCAAGUAAAGCAAGGCAACCAUCAACUUGAUCAUGAAGAAAACAUGUAAACCAAAGCACGCAAUUAUACGAGAAUAAAUAUACCAUCCGCAGGUUGCAUGCAAAAUAUAACAUUUACGUUUCUUCAAUAGUACCAUUUUAUUGCAAUCUUGAGGUUCAUAUUAGUUUUUAGUUCGUUCUCAAUGGCCAGUGCUAGAGGUACUACAAGGGUUGGAGUAAGAACAAGGGCACGAACUCCAGUUGUGGAAGAGAUAGUACCUAAUUCUGGAUGGACAGAGGACUCUGCGGGCCAUUACCUUCUAGUGGAUCUUCCCGGUAUUGCAUCAAACACCUAAUUCACUUUUGAACAGGAAAACAAAUAGAAUAUGCAUGUGAAUUUAGAAGAAUUCGAUAAACCCCAUAGAGAGACCAAUAUUAAUUUCGUUUUAGUUUUUGACUUGCUUCUUGUUUCCCUACCCAACCGAAAAACCUGUUCCAGCUUUUAAGGUGCAUGCGUGCCAUUUUUUUUUUUUGAACCGAAGAACUAUUUAAUUCACAAAUGCAAGGACUUCUUGUACAGUUCUCAAUAAGGAUUGGUGCCGUGAAAACAAGAUUAACUCAUGAUUUUUUUUUUAUCAUCUUGCUUCAGAUUUCAGGAAGGAGGAGAUGAAGCUCCAGGUUAAUAGCUAUGGCCGUAUUGUUGUAUCAGGAGAGAGGAACUUAAAUGAGUGGAAACAUGUUCAUUUUCGGCUGACUUUUCCAGCACCGCUGAACUCUGAUAUGGAUAAGAUAGCUGGAAAGUUUGAUGGUGGAAUCCUUUAUGUCACUGUCCCCAAGCAAGUAACACAACAGAACAAAGAAAGUGAGACUGCGAAAGUUGGAAAUGGAAAAGUUGAAAGAGCAGAAGAGAAAGAUAGCCAUCAGCAUGGAAAUGGUGAAGUUGAAAGAGCAGCAGAAAAUGAUAGCCAUGCACCCAAUGCUGAUGAGGGGAGGAUAGGUCCCAAUCAGCAUGACAACCAUAUAGAGCAUGAAGUAAAAAGACAUGAAAAUGAGCACAUUGGAGAAUUUCCUGAACAAGUAAUAAGGAAUUGGCAUCAAGAAUCCAUGUUAAGAAGUGCAGUGGGGGUUUUGAGGAAAAACAAAGGAAUUGUAGUAACAGCUGUUAUAGCAUUUUCCUUGGGGUUGUUCGUAUCUCACAAAUUCAACAGCACAGGUCCUUGACCUGAAUCCACAAAUGUAUAUCCUUUCAUUUCAGGUCAUUUGCCUUUUAGAUUUAUGUAAAUAGAAUAAACUAUAAAGUAUCAUGCAGAUAUUCAAACAUUUAUAAUAAUAUCUCUGCUUUAUCCUUUUUUCUUUACAGUCUUAAAAUCUGCAUUCACAAUAUGAUUUGAUUUAUCAUGUCUACAAUCCUUUGUCACAUUAAAUAAAUGAAGUUAUUGAAGGAAUUUUAAGAGGGCUCAUUGGGAUAGGUUCCUGUCUGGACCUUCAUAUACCCCAUCAUCACCAUUAUAUUUGCUCAUACUAUGGUUUAAUAUCGAAUGGCUACCAUAUGAAAGACUCAAAGUCUCACCUCGUAAUUAAUUCGCACAGAAUUAUGAAUCUAAUGGCUACCAAAUGAAAAGACUCAGUCUCACCUCACAAUUAAUUCACACAGAAUUAUGAAUCUAAUUGCCUUAAUUGUUCUUGCCAAAGAGCAUAUAUAACUUUAUUAUCAAUUUAUGGCAAUCUGAUCAAAGUCAAGUAUUGUCUUUUCAGUGCUAAUAAUCUAAUCUAAACUAAGUAUUUUGAACCUAAUAUAAAUUUCUUUAUCUCUGCUUCCUCGGCCCUCAACUAAGUUAAAGGGAGAAGCAAAGAAAGAGGUUAUGCAUGCAUAUUAAAUAUAGCAGCAGGUGCAUCACAUCAAGGCAGCCUUAGAGAUGCAAUCACAAUAAGGUCAUCUUGCUUAAAAACCUUACUCCAUGUUCUUCUUCCUCAAAUGGCCAGUUCUUCUCUCAAGCUACUAUUAAACAAUCUUAUGUGGUUUUCUAUACUGUGAUGAAUCCUAAAAAAAUAAAAAUAAAGCUAUAAACCAGAUGACAUCACCUCUGCUUUUCAACACCUCCUUUGCAUGAUUUUUUAAACUACAGUGUUUUUUCACUGACCUCAUCCUGUAUCUUGAUCCAAAUUAUGCUGAUUGGAAGAGCAUCAUAUCAUCAAAAUUUACUUUUAUCUUAAAGGAUCAGAUUCCGCAAGUAGUCCACCAAUUUAAAAAAAGAGCAAAAGAUUGUUGAUUCGGGAAAGAGAAGCUUCUUUGGCAUCUGUGCCAUAAAGUUGUGAAUUGUGACCUAAUGUUCCUAACUCCUUAGUGCUUAUCUAACAUAACGAAAUAAAGUUUCCCCUUCCUGAUCUUAACAGAGUCACUUUGCUUGCAGAACUUGAAUUGUGUAGCUACUUCCUUGUCUUAACAGAGUUACAUAAACUAUUUUCCUUCUUACUUCUGCUUACUUUCAAAAUAUAUUAAUAUUACUUCCAAAAGAUUUUUCAAAUUUCUUAUUAAAAGGUGGUUGGUGGAUAAGAAUCAUACAAUACCUCAUGAGCCAAUUCCAAAAUGCCGAAAAGAAAGAGCUUGUCGAGCACAGUUGGGAUAUAGUAGAAUUGUACCUCCUCUGGGAGCUUCCUGAACACUAGUAUAACCAAUAGACAAUAGUUGCUUGCUGUUGCUUGAAUUAGAAAAGGAAAGGUGGUUAGAGUUUUGAGAUUUAGAUGUUGACAAGCGAUGCAUGGUGAAGAAUAAGGAACCAAAGUAGAGGAGGGGUAUAAAGGUGAUGCUUUGUCGUCGAACUUUAUUCAAAAUGCAAGUGCUUUUUGACAAAAAGGAAGGGCCCGCGGUUGGGACGCGGAAUCAUGUUCUUCCUGCCAUGGCUUUUAACUUCCUUUGACAAUUUGAUAAGGUUAUUGGUCUAAAGACCCUAUAGUUAAGGAGGGCUAGUCACAAACCUAUGUUCAAACACUGUUAUGAAGAGUGGUGGACAUAGACAUGGACAUUAGUAAAGGUUUUUCAUAAAUGACUAUUAGUACACACUUUAGAUCUCAGUCUCAUGAAUACUUGCUCUUGAAUGUAAGUAUAUAAUAUUUCACAGUACAAUAGUACCUGUAAACCAAUAACUUUAUGUUACUGAUCAAGAGCACAAACAAGAGAUCUAAAGUGGGAGAAACAGAGAGCAAAAGUAAAGUUUCUCUCCAUCGGUCUCUCCUACUUCUAGUUGAAGGGGAAUGGUAUAACAAAAAACAAAAAGUAAUUAUGAAAAUGAUAUCAAGAUAUAGAGAAGAUUUUUAAGUAAAUCCAAAGUUAACAAAUUAUUACACAAAAACUCUUCUCUGAAAUCAAAUCUAAUAUAAUGAUCACAAGGCGCACAUGUGCAUUAGCAAUCAAUGUCUUAAACCUAGAUAUAGAAAUUUAGAAUAAGGACUUUUUGUCUGUGACUGGGACAUUAGGAAUAGAGAAAGGGAAAGGUGCUUGGGUCAUUCUCGCAAGCCAUUGAAAUAAAUAAUAAAAUAUAGAAAACCUUAAUCCUAAUAAUAUAUUCUGGAAAAAAAAUAUAUUAAGAAAAAGGGUGAGGUGGAUAACGAAGGGUGAGUGGAGGGAAUUGGAAAAAAGUUGGAAAGAAAUCCUUCGCGAGAGAGCAUGGAAUCUAACCUGCCUCCCCACUGUCAUCACAAACAAACUUCAAAAACCGUGCUCCAUCCAAAAAUAAACAUAAUUAAAAACAAAAAGCACCGCACAACGUAAAACGAACCUUACCUUACCUUACUUCUCUCUUCGAAACGCUGAUCACAGUCUGUGUUCAUCCACAUUUCGCGCGCGCAUCACCCGAGAUGAGAAGAUGAUGACGACGCCGUUUCAGCAACCGCCCCAAACCGUACGGAGAC